This 1072-nucleotide ribosomal RNA is filed under the name Firmicutes bacterium Madttd2.2. RNAcentral describes it as "bacterial SSU rRNA". It matches the Rfam family "Bacterial small subunit ribosomal RNA", at positions 77 to 1135 of the family's 1533-position model. Lineage: Bacteria; Bacillati; Bacillota. The record is from RNAcentral.
AGCUUGCUCCCGGAUGUUAGCGGCGGACGGGUGAGUAACACGUGGGUAACCUGCCUGUAAGACUGGGAUAACUCCGGGAAACCGGAGCUAAUACCGGAUAGUUCCUUGAACCGCAUGGUUCAAGGAUGAAAGACGGUUUCGGCUGUCACUUACAGAUGGACCCGCGGCGCAUUAGCUAGUUGGUGGGGUAAUGGCUCACCAAGGCGACGAUGCGUAGCCGACCUGAGAGGGUGAUCGGCCACACUGGGACUGAGACACGGCCCAGACUCCUACGGGAGGCAGCAGUAGGGAAUCUUCCGCAAUGGACGAAAGUCUGACGGAGCAACGCCGCGUGAGUGAUGAAGGUUUUCGGAUCGUAAAGCUCUGUUGUUAGGGAAGAACAAGUGCGAGAGUAACUGCUCGCACCUUGACGGUACCUAACCAGAAAGCCACGGCUAACUACGUGCCAGCAGCCGCGGUAAUACGUAGGUGGCAAGCGUUGUCCGGAAUUAUUGGGCGUAAAGGGCUCGCAGGCGGUUUCUUAAGUCUGAUGUGAAAGCCCCCGGCUCAACCGGGGAGGGUCAUUGGAAACUGGGAAACUUGAGUGCAGAAGAGGAGAGUGGAAUUCCACGUGUAGCGGUGAAAUGCGUAGAGAUGUGGAGGAACACCAGUGGCGAAGGCGACUCUCUGGUCUGUAACUGACGCUGAGGAGCGAAAGCGUGGGGAGCGAACAGGAUUAGAUACCCUGGUAGUCCACGCCGUAAACGAUGAGUGCUAAGUGUUAGGGGGUUUCCGCCCCUUAGUGCUGCAGCUAACGCAUUAAGCACUCCGCCUGGGGAGUACGGUCGCAAGACUGAAACUCAAAGGAAUUGACGGGGGCCCGCACAAGCGGUGGAGCAUGUGGUUUAAUUCGAAGCAACGCGAAGAACCUUACCAGGUCUUGACAUCCUCUGACAACCCUAGAGAUAGGGCUUUCCCUUCGGGGACAGAGUGACAGGUGGUGCAUGGUUGUCGUCAGCUCGUGUCGUGAGAUGUUGGGUUAAGUCCCGCAACGAGCGCAACCCUUGAUCUUAGUUGCCAGCAUUUAGUUGGG